This 253-nucleotide ribosomal RNA is filed under the name uncultured bacterium. RNAcentral's name for it is "partial 16S ribosomal RNA". It matches the Rfam family "Bacterial small subunit ribosomal RNA", at positions 524 to 776 of the family's 1533-position model. The record is from RNAcentral.
UACGGAGGGUGCAAACGUUGCUCGGAAUCAUUGGGCGUAAAGCGUACGUAGGCGGUCCAGCAAGUCGGGUGUGAAAUCCCUGGGCUUAACCGAGGAAGUGCGAACGAAACUACUGGACUUGAGUACUGAAGAGGGUCGCGGAAUUCCCGGUGUAGAGGUGAAAUUCGUAGAUAUCGGGAGGAACACCAGUGGCGAAGGCGGCGACCUGGGCAGAUACUGACGCUGAGGUACGAAAGCGUGGGGAGCAAACAGG